This 802-nucleotide long non-coding RNA is filed under the name Ovis aries (sheep). RNAcentral describes it as "lncRNA (ENSOARG00000026729.1)". Lineage: Eukaryota; Metazoa; Chordata; Mammalia; Artiodactyla; Bovidae. The record is from RNAcentral.
GGAAGACGGUUGACAAAGCGCACCCUGGGGUGCAUGGGGGGUUCCCAGCAAGGGCAAAGCGUUCCCUGUCAGAAAUCAGACCAGAACUGAGAGAGAUCCACUCGAUGCACGCUGGGGUUGAUCAUGAGGAUGAGACGGAACUCCUGACCGAGUCUCCUCCUUUUCCUGUCUCUCUGAAAUCUCACCCGAGUAAUACAGGACGUCAGAGUGGAGAGGCAUCCUCCCAUGGCAUAUUAGGUUGUCAGAGCAGCUGGGACUGCCGCCCUGAGGAGGUGCAGCAAAGAGACCAGAGAAUGACUUUGAGACACAGGAACAUAGAUGGUGAGGCAAUGUGAAAACGGAAACUGAGAUUUACACGGAAGAACACCGAAGAUCACUGGCAACCAAGGGUGGAUUCUUUACCCACUGAGCCACCUGGGAAGCCCAGAGAGAUGGGGGUACACUUGGAUAAUUAUUUACUCUCGUUGGUUUGUAGACAAUGUAAAUGCCAACUUGUUUCUAUAGUUUUUCAUUGGUGUUUGAUGAUUAAAAAUAAAAGUGUUGACUUUCUAAAGGCUAAUUGUUUCUUUGACAAAAUAACUGAAUUAUAUCUAAGUUCCAACAGUUGUGCUGUUAAUUAUAUUCAUUCUUCAAAAUAGAUGAUCAUAGACUAUUUACAAAUAAUGGCAUAUUUUCUGUAUCCAUGCAGCAGUAUCUACUAGCAGUAAUUCUUUUCUUUUUCAAUAGCAGUGUCCAGAGCCUCUAGUGCUGCGUUAAAUAGAAGCACUGGACUAACCUUUUUCCUGAUAAUAAAGUUAUCCCC